This 301-nucleotide ribosomal RNA is filed under the name uncultured bacterium. RNAcentral describes it as "partial 16S ribosomal RNA". It matches the Rfam family "Bacterial small subunit ribosomal RNA", at positions 509 to 809 of the family's 1533-position model. The record is from RNAcentral.
CAGCAGCCGCGGGAAUACAGAGGGUGCGAGCGUUAAUCGGAUUUACUGGGCGUAAAGCGUGCGUAGGCGGCUUCUUAAGUCGGAUGUGAAAUCCCUGAGCUUAACUUAGGAAUUGCAUUCGAUACCGGGAAGCUAGAGUAUGGGAGAGGAUGGUAGAAUUCCAGGUGUAGCGGUGAAAUGCGUAGAGAUCUGGAGGAAUACCGAUGGCGAAGGCAGCCAUCUGGCCUAAUACUGACGCUGAGGUACGAAAGCAUGGGGAGCAAACAGGAUUAGAUACCCCUGUAGUCCCUGUCUAUUAUAA